AUGGCGUUCAGCAGACUCAACGGCCAGAUGGAAGCCAAGGCAGCCGCGGUUUUGUUCAUUGUGCUCCUUGGAUGCUCCAUGCUCAUGUUGGUCUCCUCAACUGAUGGUGAGAUCGGCAGAUCAGGUUGUCCUCGUCUUUCGGAUGGCGAUGCCAUAGGCAAAGACGACACCCCGUUCCCAAAAAUGUGCAUAGGGAGGAGGCACGGCCCUGAGAACGUCGAAUUCUGUUGUGCAACAUUGCCAGGACUACCUUGCUGGCGAACGCAGGAAGAGUGCCUCCACGUUUGCCCAUAG
This 294-nucleotide ribosomal RNA is filed under the name Triticum aestivum (bread wheat). RNAcentral describes it as "partial small subunit ribosomal RNA". The record is from RNAcentral. Lineage: Eukaryota; Viridiplantae; Streptophyta; Magnoliopsida; Poales; Poaceae.